RNAcentral lists this ribosomal RNA (478 nucleotides) under uncultured bacterium. Its description in RNAcentral is "partial 16S ribosomal RNA". It matches the Rfam family "Bacterial small subunit ribosomal RNA", at positions 28 to 523 of the family's 1533-position model. The record is from RNAcentral.
GACGAACGCUGGCGGCGUGCUUAACACAUGCAAGUCGAGCGGAAAGGCCCUUCGGGGUACUCGAGCGGCGAACGGGUGAGUAACACGUGAGAAAUCUGCCCUGCACUCUGGGAUAGCCAUCGGAAACGGUGAUUAAUACUGGAUAUGAGCCACUACCGCAUGGUGGUGGUUGGAAAGUUUUUUCGGUGCAGGAUGUGCUCGCGGCCUAUCAGCUUGUUGGUGAGGUAAUGGCUCACCAAGGCUUCGACGGGUAGCCGGCCUGAGAGGGUGACCGGCCACACUGGGACUGAGACACGGCCCAGACUCCUACGGGAGGCAGCAGUGGGGAAUAUUGGACAAUGGGCGGAAGCCUGAUCCAGCAACGCCGCGUGAGGGAUGACGGCCUUCGGGUUGUAAACCUCUUUCAGUACAGACGAAGCGCAAGUGACGGUAUGUAUAGAAGAAGGACCGGCCAACUACGUGCCAGCAGCCGCCGUAA